ACUCAAAUGAAUUGACGGGGACCCGCACAACCGGUGGAGCGUGUGGUUCAAUUCGAGACAAAGCGAAGCACCUUACCAGGGUUUGACAUGAUACCGUUUUAUACUUUUGGAAACAUUAGUAGAUCUCGCAAGAGAUGGUACCACAGGUGUUGCAUGGCUGUCGUCAGCUCGUGCCGUGAGGUGUUCCCUUAAGUGGGGAAACGAGCGCAACCCGCAUCUAAUGUUACAUAUUCAUUAGAGACUGCUCCGAUUUAUCGGGGAGGAAGGAGCGGAAGACGUCAAGUCCGCACGGCCCUUAUACCCUGGGUCACACACACCCUACAAUGGCGAAAAACAACGUGCUGCAAGCCGGCAACGGCAAGCUAAUCACUGAAAUUUCGCCUCAGUUCAGAUUGGGGUCUGCAACCCGACCCCAUGAAGUCGGAAUCGGUAGUAAUCGCGGAUCAGCAGGCCGCGGUGAAUACGUUCUCGGGUCUUGUACACACCGCCCGU
Molecule: ribosomal RNA, 492 nt
Filed under: uncultured bacterium
Lineage: Bacteria
Description: partial 16S ribosomal RNA
Rfam family: Bacterial small subunit ribosomal RNA
Source: RNAcentral